AUGAUAAUUUUCUUUUCUCUUUUUGAGUGGUUUAUUCUCAGCGUAUUAAAUUGUUCAGUCGCUAAGUGGUGUCCGACUCUUUGCAAUCCCACAGACAGCCAGACUUCCCUGUCUUUCACUAUCUCCGAGAGAUUGCUCAAACUCAUGUCCGUUGAGUUAGUGAUGUCAUGGUGCUCAACGGUGGCUAGCAAAACAUGGUGUUCAAUGGUGGCUAACAAAACAAAGAGAGCCCCUAAAAAUAAAACCUUUUUAGUAAAGACCUGAGAAAGGUGAUGGUGUUUGUUUCAUUUUAGGAUUAUCAUCCUCCCUUCAACAUAGUGUGUAAACGUUAAGACUACUUAAUAAAACUCCCACAAUUCCAAAGCUGAGUAUUUUUCAGAGACCUCAGAAUUUCUCUGAACUUGCCAUUUUAAAAACAAAAAUCCAAGACACUACUGGCAUCAACUGUAUCAAUAAUACACACAUUAUUUAAAAUAUCUGUCAAAUAAAUAGUAUAUUUCAUAUACUUUCAUUUCCUGCUUCCAUCAAUAACAAUAUUAAUAUUACUUUGGCACUAUGUAUCAAUACUUAUGGAGAAGGCAAUGGCAACCCACUCCAGUACUCUUGCCUGGAAAANNNNNNNNNNNNNNNNNNNNNNNNNNNNNNAGUCCAUGGGGUCGCACAGAGUCGGACACGACUGAAGCGAUUUAGCAGCAUCAAUACUUACGUGAGAAGCACUCGUGAAUUAUCUCAUUCAGUCCUCACACUAUGGUAUGAGAUAUGAAUGAUUAUAUUCAUUUUACAGAUAAGUUUCCUGAAACAUCCACAACAAUUUGGAAGGAGGAAAAAAGGUGCUUAUACGGUAAGAUGAAGAAUGUAUAACCAACAAAAAUGCCAAGAAGUGAACCUCUUAUUUCAAUAUUAAUGUACAUAGUGGCAAAAAUGUGGAAAAUAAUGAAAAUAAGCAGCAAAAUAUCUUUAUAUCUAAGUUGUGCAUGUGUGCUCAGUUAUGUCUGACUCUUUGUGACACCAUGGACCAUAGCCUGCCAGGCUUCUCUGUCCACAGAAUUUUCCAGGCAAGAACACUGGAGUGGGUUACCAUUUCCUACUCUAGGGGCUCUUCCUGACCCAGGGAUCAAACCCAAGUGUCCCAUGUCUCCAGCAUUGGCAGGCAGACUUUUCAAAAGACAAGACUGCCAAAAGCAACAACUGAAUUAUUUAUCUUCCUGGUUUUGAUGUAAGGACGAAUCACAAAAGUACAAAUAUCCUGUAUGUAAGAUAAAUGACACGCAGAGCAGCAAAACACAUUUACUCUUCAAUGAAGGUAGCUAAACAGCAGUAAGAGUUAUUAUGGAAAGCUAGUUUUCAAAAAUUCCUAAGAGCUUUUCUUUCAUUGUAUACUUUAACCUUCUAUGCAAAUCCAUAAGUACUGUACUUAUUUGUAUGGUAUUACAGCAAAGAUUAAAACAAGAUAAAUAAAAAUAUUAGAAACUGUUUUCUCUUUGUUAUAUCAACAGACCAUAUUUAAGAGUUUACUAGCCAUUUUCCCCAGAAGGUUCAGUUCAGUUCAGUUGCUCAGUCACGUCAACUCUUUGUGACCCCACAGCCUGCAACACGCCAGGCUUCCCUGU
RNAcentral lists this long non-coding RNA (1610 nucleotides) under Capra hircus (goat). Its description in RNAcentral is "lncRNA (ENSCHIG00010004580.1)". Lineage: Eukaryota; Metazoa; Chordata; Mammalia; Artiodactyla; Bovidae. The record is from RNAcentral.